UGGGGAAUAUUGGGCAAUGGGCGCAAGCCUGACCCAGCAACGCCGCGUGAAGGAAGAAGGCUUUCGGGUUGUAAACUUCUUUUGUCGGGGACGAGUAGAAGACGGUACCUGGCAAAUAAGCCACGGCUAACUACGUGCCAGCAGCCGCGGUAAUACGUAGGUGGCAAGCGUUGUCCGGAUUUACUGGGUGUAAAGGGCGUGUAGCCGGGAAGGCAAGUCAGAUGUGAAAUCCACGGGCUUAACUCGUGAACUGCAUUUGAAACUACUUUUCUGAGUAUCGGAGAGGCAAUCGGAAUUCCUAGUGUAGCGGUGAAAUGCGU
This 320-nucleotide ribosomal RNA is filed under the name uncultured Oscillibacter sp. Its description in RNAcentral is "bacterial SSU rRNA". It matches the Rfam family "Bacterial small subunit ribosomal RNA", at positions 355 to 691 of the family's 1533-position model. Lineage: Bacteria; Bacillati; Bacillota; Clostridia; Eubacteriales; Oscillospiraceae. The record is from RNAcentral.